Molecule: transfer RNA, 31 nt
Filed under: Dinochloa scandens
Lineage: Eukaryota; Viridiplantae; Streptophyta; Magnoliopsida; Poales; Poaceae
Description: partial tRNA-Phe
Source: RNAcentral
ACUCUACUAGGAUGAUGCACAAGAAAAGCUC